UACGUAGGUGACUAGCGUUGUCCGGAUUUACUGGGCGUAAAGAGCGCGCAGGCGGUCGUUCAAGUCGAGUGUGAAAGCCCCCGGCUCAACUGGGGAGGGUCAUUCGAUACUGAUCGACUCGAAGGCAGGAGAGGGAAGCGGAAUUCCCGGUGUAGUGGUGAAAUGCGUAGAUAUCGGGAGGAACACCAGUGGCGAAGGCGGCUUUCUGGUCUGUAACUGACGCUGAGGCGCGAAAGCUAGGGGAGCAAACGGG
Molecule: ribosomal RNA, 253 nt
Filed under: uncultured bacterium
Lineage: Bacteria
Description: partial 16S ribosomal RNA
Rfam family: Bacterial small subunit ribosomal RNA
Source: RNAcentral